This 497-nucleotide ribosomal RNA is filed under the name uncultured bacterium. Its description in RNAcentral is "partial 16S ribosomal RNA". It matches the Rfam family "Bacterial small subunit ribosomal RNA", at positions 28 to 507 of the family's 1533-position model. The record is from RNAcentral.
GAUGAACGCUGGCGGCGUGCCUAAUACAUGCCAGUCGAGCGAACAGACGAGGAGCUUGCUCCUCUGACGUUAGCGGCGGACGGGUGAGUAACACGUGGAUAACCUACCUAUAAGACUGGGAUAACUUCGGGAAACCGGAGCUAAUACCGGAUAAUAUAUUGAACCGCAUGGUUCAAUAGUGAAAGACGGUUUUGCUGUCACUUAUAGAUGGAUCCGCGCCGCAUUAGCUAGUUGGUAAGGUAACGGCUUACCAAGGCAACGAUGCGUAGCCGACCUGAGAGGGUGAUCGGCCACACUGGAACUGAGACACGGUCCAGACUCCUACGGGAGGCAGCAGUAGGGAAUCUUCCGCAAUGGGCGAAAGCCUGACGGAGCAACGCCGCGUGAGUGAUGAAGGUCUUCGGAUCGUAAAACUCUGUUAUUAGGGAAGAACAAAUGUGUAAGUAACUAUGCGCGUCUUGACAGUACCUAAUCAGAAAGCCACGGCUAACUACGUG